UACGGGGGGGGCAAGCGUUGUUCGGAAUUACUGGGCGUAAAGGGCGCGUAGGCGGCCGACUAAGUCAGACGUGAAAUCCCCAGGCUCAACUUGGGAACUGCGUCUGAUACUGGCCGGCUUGAAUCCGGGAGAGGGAUGUGGAAUUCCAGGUGUAGCGGUGAAAUGCGUAGAUAUCUGGAGGAACACCGGUGGCGAAGGCGGCAUCCUGGACCGGUAUUGACGCUGAGGCGCGAAAGCCAGGGGAGCAAACGGG
This 253-nucleotide ribosomal RNA is filed under the name uncultured Acidobacteriota bacterium. RNAcentral's name for it is "uncultured Acidobacteria bacterium partial 16S ribosomal RNA". It matches the Rfam family "Bacterial small subunit ribosomal RNA", at positions 524 to 776 of the family's 1533-position model. Lineage: Bacteria; Pseudomonadati; Acidobacteriota. The record is from RNAcentral.